UACGUAGGAUCCGAGCGUUGUCCGGAUUUACUGGGUGUAAAGGGUGCGCAGGCGGACUGGUAAGUCAGAGGUGAAAUCUCGUCGCUUAACGACGAAACUGCCUUUGAUACUAUCAGUCUUGAGUCCGGUAGAGAUCUGUGGAAUUCCGAGUGUAGCAGUGAAAUGUGUAGAUAUUCGGAAGAACACCAGUGGCGAAGGCAGCAGAUUGGGCCGGUACUGACGCUCAGGCACGAAAGCAUGGGGAUCAAACAGG
Molecule: ribosomal RNA, 253 nt
Filed under: uncultured bacterium
Lineage: Bacteria
Description: partial 16S ribosomal RNA
Rfam family: Bacterial small subunit ribosomal RNA
Source: RNAcentral